CCUACGGGACGCAGCAGUGGGGGAUAUUGCACAAUGGGGGGAACCCUGAUGCAGCGACGCCGCGUGGGCGAUGGAGUACUUCGGUAUGUAAAACCCUAUCAGCAGGGAAGAAAAUGACGGUACCUGACUAAGAAGCCCCGGCUAAAUACGUGCCAGCAGCCGCGGUAAUACGUAUGGGGCAAGCGUUAUCCGGAUUUACUGGGUGUAAAGGGAGUGUAGGCGGCCUGGCAAGCCUGAUGUGAAAUACCGGGGCCCAACCCCGGGGCUGCAUUGGGAACUGCCAGGCUGGAGUGCCGGAGAGGCAG
This 305-nucleotide ribosomal RNA is filed under the name uncultured bacterium. RNAcentral's name for it is "bacterial SSU rRNA". It matches the Rfam family "Bacterial small subunit ribosomal RNA", at positions 338 to 660 of the family's 1533-position model. The record is from RNAcentral.